GAGUUUGAUCCUGGCUCAGGAUGAACGCUGGCGGCGUGCUUAACACAUGCAAGUCGAGCGAUGAAGUUUCCUUCGGGAAACGGAUUAGCGGCGGACGGGUGAGUAACACGUGGGUAACCUGCCUCAUAGAGUGGAAUAGCCUUCCGAAAGGAAGAUUAAUACCGCAUAACGUUGAAAGAUGGCAUCAUCAUUUAACCAAAGGAGCAAUCCGCUAUGAGAUGGACCCGCGGCGCAUUAGCUAGUUGGUGGGGUAACGGCCUACCAAGGCGACGAUGCGUAGCCGACCUGAGAGGGUGAUCGGCCACAUUGGGACUGAGACACGGCCCAGACUCCUACGGGAGGCAGCAGUGGGGAAUAUUGCACAAUGGGGGAAACCCUGAUGCAGCAACGCCGCGUGAGUGAUGAAGGUUUUCGGAUCGUAAAGCUCUGUCUUUGGGAAGAUAAUGACGGUACCCAAGGAGGAAGCCACGGCUAACUACGUGCCAGCAGCCGCGGUAAUACGUAGGUGGCGAGCGUUAUCCGGAUUUACUGGGCGUAAAGGGAGCGUACGCGGAUGAUUAAGUGGGUU
RNAcentral lists this ribosomal RNA (568 nucleotides) under uncultured bacterium. Its description in RNAcentral is "bacterial SSU rRNA". It matches the Rfam family "Bacterial small subunit ribosomal RNA", at positions 9 to 593 of the family's 1533-position model. The record is from RNAcentral.